CUCCAAUUCCACGACAGGGCCACCUUCUUUGCACACACACUAAACAAAUCAAAAAGGGUGUCUUUCUCACAUGAGGGUCCUGGGAGAGCAAAGAGCUGAUCCAUCUCAUCCGGGAGACAAACAGAUGGGACGUGUGUGGACCUAAAGACUGACUACACUGAGAGCUGAGAGCUUCGGUUAGAGUGUGAGUCACUGCAAUCUGCUGCUUUGAAAUCCACAUAGUAAACAUUUAUUGCAGCCCUGCCCAUGCCAGGUACUGCGCUGGGUGCUGGGUGGGGGAGAGGAGAUGACUAAGGCUGGUAGAGCUGAGGCUGGGGACGCAGUGAGAAGCCAAAUCAUGCACACAGGGCCUUGGAAACCCAGUUAAGGGGACUGGACUGGACUCACUGGGAAGUUAGGGAAGGCUUUUAAACCACCGGGGAAUGAUAUGUUCUGAUACCAUCAUUUUGCAUCCCCUGGGGUAAUAAACACUAUGUCAUUAGCACCAUUAACACCUUAGUGUGAAUUAGGUAAUCAGAUGAAGUGUCACCUUGCAAAAGGCUGAGAUGUGGGACUGAUAAGUUUUGAUGCCAGAGGACUGGAGCCAGGAAGAGGCGGCACCCAUGGCCACUCAGUGGGGACAGGGGAGGAGGGAACAGACCCGGAAGGAACCUGGGUGCUCAGUGAUCACACCAUAAGCAUCCUACACAUAUGAUUCAUGCCUGUAGAUAUUUACUAAGCUCCUUGGCCCUGGGCAUUGUGGAGAACAAAAGAGAUGGUCCCUGCCCUCUAAGGAAAGACAGACAGUAAACAAACCAUCAACUAGAUCUGUAACUACAAGCUGGGGUAAGGUCUCGGAAGGAAAAGAACAGGGCUCUAGGAAAAAGUGUAUCAGGGAUAUAAUUAAGAUGGACGGGCAACCAGGAAGGGUCUUAGAUGAUAGUUAAGCUGAGACCUGACUCACAAAGCAGCUGGAAACUCCAGAAAGAGCAUCCAAGGCUGAAGGGAUAGCAUGUGCCAAGGCCCUGAAGAGGGAAACGUAAGAAGGCCAGGAGAGGGCAAAGGGCCCAGCUAGGGGCAGAGGCUAGAAAGGCAGGCCAGGGUCAGGUCCUGUGGCCUUGGACUCUAAUCUUCAAGGGGACAGGAAGCUCCUCAACAAUUUUCAUAGAUGUACCAGAUGACAGUCUGUCAGUUUUUGGAGGUCACCCUGGCAGCGGGUGGGAAAUGGGUCCAGCAGGUAUGGAGGUCAGCGAGGACGGAAGCUGGCCCCAGAGGCUCCCGAGUGGGAUGGGAAGGCAGUGGAGAGAGGGCGGGGUGUGGUCCCAGAUGUUCUA
Molecule: non-coding RNA, 1313 nt
Organism: Ictidomys tridecemlineatus (thirteen-lined ground squirrel)
Lineage: Eukaryota; Metazoa; Chordata; Mammalia; Rodentia; Sciuridae
Source: RefSeq, a predicted model, not a curated record